GAGUAACUGUUGACAUCGUGACGGUAUCCAACCAGAAAGCCACGGCUAACUACGUGCCAGCAGCCGCGGUAAUACGUAGGUGGCAAGCGUUGUCCGGAUUUAUUGGGCGUAAAGCGAGCGCAGGCGGUUUUUUAGGUCUGAUGUGAAAGCCUUCGGCUUAACCGGAGAAGUGCAUCGGAAACCGGGAGACUUGAGUGCAGAAGAGGACAGUGGAACUCCAUGUGUAGCGGUGAAAUGCGUAGAUAUAUGGAAGAACACCAGUGGCGAAGGCGGCUGUCUAGUCUGCAACUGACGCUGAGGCUCGAAAGCAUGGGUAGCGAACAGGAUUAGAUACCCUGGUAGUCCAUGCCGUAAACGAUGAGUGCUAAGUGUUGGAGGGUUUCCGCCCUUCAGUGCUGCAGCCAACGCAUUAAGCACUCCGCCUGGGGAGUACGACCGCAAGGUUGAAACUCAAAGGAAUUGACGGGGGCCCGCACAAGCGGUGGAGCAUGUGGUUUAAUUCGAUGCUACGCGAAGAACCUUACCAGGUCUUGACAUCUUCUGCUAACCUAAGAGAUUAGGCGUUCCCUUCGGGGACGGAAUGACAGGUGGUGCAUGGUUGUCGUCAGCUCGUGUCGUGAGAUGUUGGGUUAAGUCCCGCAACGAGCGCAACCCUUAUUGUCAGUUGCCAGCAUUUAGUUGGGCACUCUGGCGAGACUGCCGGUGACAAACCGGAGGAAGGUGGGGAUGACGUCAAAUCAUCAUGCCCCUUAUGACCUGGGCUACACACGUGCUACAAUGGACGGUACAACGAGUCGCGAAACCGCGAGGUCAAGCUAAUCUCUGAAAGCCGUUCUCAGUUCGGAUUGCAGGCUGCAACUCGCCUGCAUGAAGUUGGAAUCGCUAGUAAUCGUGGAUCAGCAUGCCACGGUGAAUACGUUCCCGGGCCUUGUACACACCGCCCGUCACACCAUGAGAGUUUGUAACACCCAAAGCCGGUGAGGUAACCUUCGGGAACCAGCCGUCUAAGGUGGGACAGAUGAUUAGGGUGAAGUCGUAACAAGGUAGCCGUAGGAGAACCUGCGGCUGGAUCACCUCCUUUCUAA
This 1085-nucleotide ribosomal RNA is filed under the name uncultured bacterium. Its description in RNAcentral is "bacterial SSU rRNA". It matches the Rfam family "Bacterial small subunit ribosomal RNA", at positions 447 to 1533 of the family's 1533-position model. The record is from RNAcentral.